Oncorhynchus tshawytscha (Chinook salmon) is the source of this 478-nucleotide long non-coding RNA. RefSeq lists it as uncharacterized. NCBI's taxonomy places the organism in Eukaryota, Metazoa, Chordata, Actinopteri, Salmoniformes, Salmonidae. The record is from RefSeq and is a predicted model, not a curated record. The transcript is spliced from 3 exons.
UGUGUUCCAGUCCUCUCUCAGGGUGUUUCUGUGUUCCAGUCCUCUCUCAGCUGUGUGGUUUAGGUGUUAACAGGGUGUCUCUGUGUUCCAGUCCUCUCUCAGCUGUGUGGUUUAGGUGUUAACAGGGUGUCUCUGUGUUCCAGUCCUCUCUCAGCUGUGUGGUUUAGGUGUUAACAGGGUGUCUCUGUGUUCCAGUCCUCUCUCAGGGUGUCUCUGUGUUCCAGUCCUCUCUCAGCUGUGUGGUUUAGGUGUUAACAGGGUGUCUCUGUGUUCCAGUCCUCUCUCAGCUGUGUGGUUUAGGUGUUAACAGGGUGUCUCUGUGUUCCAGUCCUCUCUCAGCUGUGUGGUUUAGGUGUUAACAGGGUGUCUCUGUGUUCCAGUCCUCUCUCAGCUGUGUGGUUUAGGUGUUAACAGGGUGUCUCUGUGUUCCAGUCCUCUCUCAGCUGUGUGGUUUAGGUGUUAACAGGGUGUCUCUGUG